This 218-nucleotide long non-coding RNA is filed under the name Brassica napus (rape). RNAcentral's name for it is "long non-coding RNA (BNAP_LNC011410)". The record is from RNAcentral. Lineage: Eukaryota; Viridiplantae; Streptophyta; Magnoliopsida; Brassicales; Brassicaceae.
GGCUAGUUGAGGGAAAAGAGAAGGUACCAGACGUUGACGGAGGAGCCAUAAAACCAUCUUUUGUGAUCAUAGAGCUAGAAGCUUGUGAGAAAGGAGCGUGAGUCUCUGGUACUCGAACUUGAGUAUUGAACUAAGAAAUCAGAUGUUGUAUCUCUUGUGGUGUGAAAUUCUGUAAAUUGAGAGUAUUGCCUCCACUCGUGACUGAAGGAGUUGCAGAA